Molecule: long non-coding RNA, 914 nt
Organism: Pecten maximus
Lineage: Eukaryota; Metazoa; Mollusca; Bivalvia; Pectinida; Pectinidae
Exons: 2
Source: RefSeq, a predicted model, not a curated record
UGAUUUACCUGGGUACGACAUGUUAGGACUUACCUGGGUAUGUCAUGUCUUGAUUUACCUGGGUAUGACAUGUUAGGACUUACCUGGGAUUGUCAUGUCUUGAUUUACCUGGGUACGACAUGUUAGGACUUACCUGGGUAUGACAUGUUAGGACUUACCUGGGUGUGACAUGUUAUUAUAAUUCACCUGUAUUAGAUAUUUACAAGAUGAGAUUAAACUAGGGUACAUCUUUAUUAUUUAAUUGUUAAUUUUUUAAAAGUUUUAUUGCACUUGCCAAAACAGCAAGAGAGUUACAUCAUGUUCUGGUGUCCACCGUUGGCCUAUAACUUUCUCUUUAUAGUGCUGCUCCUCCAGAACUACAUAGCAUAUUUUGACUAAAUUGUAGACAAAUCAGCAACUAUAAGAAGUGCUUUAAUACCCUUCAAUUUUUUCUGGUUUACAUGAUAUGAACAUUUACUUGGGGGAGGUAAAAACUAGAGGGACUAAAAUAAACACUGGAAUAUAUUCUUAGAACAGAUAUACCAGUAUGUAAAGUGUACACAGAAUUUUAAAUACUACUGAUGGUGUGCUUAUACCCACUUAGUGAAAAAUGAGAAAUAACAAAUUUAUCUUCAGUUUUGUUGUAAACCAUCAAAAAAAAUUGCAUUUUUCGUGCAACUCUGAAUUUUUUCAAGGAGCAAACCAAAAUAAUGCGACUAUGUUUUAAGAAGAAAAAAGAAUCUUCUUUAAAAACACUGUAAUUUUUUUUUUAGUUUUUGAAUACAGUAUAUUAAAGUUACACAAACCUCACAGAUUUGUCUCCCCUUUGAACAUUUCACAGGUUAUCUCCCUUCUUACGUUUUUUGUUUAUCUUGCUUGAAUUUAUACUGCUUUGUUUACUUUGCCAUGUAUUUAAUAAAUUUCUUAACUUGAAA